This 234-nucleotide ribosomal RNA is filed under the name Triticum aestivum (bread wheat). RNAcentral's name for it is "partial small subunit ribosomal RNA". The record is from RNAcentral. Lineage: Eukaryota; Viridiplantae; Streptophyta; Magnoliopsida; Poales; Poaceae.
AUGUACACCAUCACCUUGGGCAUGCUUGUGCCGCUGCCGCUCGGCCUCAACAUGUCCUGGAGUGCCAUUAGCGCCGCCCUCACGCUCAUCUUCCUCGACUUCAAGGACGCUCGCCCCUGCCUCGAGAAGCUGUGGGUUAAUGUUGGUGGUUUUGUUCUACUUGGAUGCAUUGGUACCCGUCAUCGAGUGAACGGAUGCAACAGCGGCAAGAAGCUCAUGGCUAUGUGCAUCUAA